UACGUAGGGGGCAAGCGUUGUCCGGAUUUAUUGGGCGUAAAGAGCGCGUAGGCGGCCUUACAGGUCAGCUGUGAAAACUCGAGGCUCAACCUCGAGACGUCGGUUGAAACCGUAUGGCUAGAGUCCGGAAGAGGAGAGUGGAAUUCCCGGUGUAGCGGUGAAAUGCGCAGAUAUCGGGAAGAACACCCGUGGCGAAGGCGGCUCUCUGGGACGGUACUGACGCUGAGGCGCGAAAGCGUGGGGAGCGAACAGG
Molecule: ribosomal RNA, 253 nt
Filed under: uncultured bacterium
Lineage: Bacteria
Description: partial 16S ribosomal RNA
Rfam family: Bacterial small subunit ribosomal RNA
Source: RNAcentral